UUUGGUAGCUUUUACUUCCCUCACCACCACACCCCUGAAUACAUAUGACCUUGGAAGCUAAGCAGGGUCAGGUUUGUUAGUAUUUGAAUGGGAAAUGACCUGGGAAUAGCUGGUGCUGUAUACU
Molecule: ribosomal RNA, 124 nt
Filed under: Microtus ochrogaster (prairie vole)
Lineage: Eukaryota; Metazoa; Chordata; Mammalia; Rodentia; Cricetidae
Source: RNAcentral